RNAcentral lists this ribosomal RNA (253 nucleotides) under uncultured bacterium. RNAcentral describes it as "partial 16S ribosomal RNA". It matches the Rfam family "Bacterial small subunit ribosomal RNA", at positions 524 to 776 of the family's 1533-position model. The record is from RNAcentral.
UACGAGAGGCCCAAACGUUAUUCGGAUUUACUGGGCUUAAAGAGUUCGUAGGCGGUCCAUCAAGUGGGGUGUGAAAUCCCUCGGCUCAACCGGGGAACUGCGUCUGAUACUGGGUGGCUUGAAUCCGGGAGAGGGAUGCGGAAUUCCUGGUGUAGCGGUGGAAUGCGCAGAUAUCAGGAGGAACACCGGUGGCGAAGGCGGGUCUCUGGGCCGUAACUGACGCUGAGGAGCGAAAGCAUGGGGAGCGAACAGG